UACGAAGGGUGCAAGCGUUACUCGGAAUUACUGGGCGUAAAGCGUGCGUACGUGGUGAGUUAAGUCUGUCGUGAAAGCCCCGGGCUCAACCUGGGAAUGGCGAUGGAUACUGGCUCGCUAGAGUGCGGUAGAGGAGAGUGGAAUUCCCGGUGUAGCAGUGAAAUGCGUAGAUAUCAAGAGGAACACCAGUGGCGAAGGCGAGUCCCUGGACAACACCUGACACUGAGGCACGAAAGCCGGGGGAGCAAACAGG
RNAcentral lists this ribosomal RNA (253 nucleotides) under uncultured bacterium. RNAcentral describes it as "partial 16S ribosomal RNA". It matches the Rfam family "Bacterial small subunit ribosomal RNA", at positions 524 to 776 of the family's 1533-position model. The record is from RNAcentral.